RNAcentral lists this transfer RNA (72 nucleotides) under Microcaldota archaeon. Its description in RNAcentral is "tRNA-Ala". It matches the Rfam family "tRNA". From Rfam's summary of the family: Transfer RNA (tRNA) molecules are approximately 80 nucleotides in length. Their secondary structure includes four short double-helical elements and three loops (D, anti-codon, and T loops). Lineage: Archaea; Nanobdellati; Microcaldota. The record is from RNAcentral.
GGGCUCUUAGCUCAGCAGUAGAGCGUUCCGUUCGCAACGGAAAGGCCGCGGGUGCGACUCCCGCAGAGUCCA